This 312-nucleotide ribosomal RNA is filed under the name uncultured eukaryote. Its description in RNAcentral is "partial 18S ribosomal RNA". It matches the Rfam family "Eukaryotic small subunit ribosomal RNA", at positions 1470 to 1796 of the family's 1831-position model. The record is from RNAcentral.
CCCUUAGAUGUCCUGGGCGGUCCGCGCGCUACAAUGUCAGCUACUGAAGGUUAAUGCUUUGAAAGAGAGCGCGCUCUCCUUUUAAUUGCUCGCAUGCUGGGAUAAAUGAAUGCAAUUUUGUUUUGAACGAGGAAUUCCUAGUAGCCAUGUUUCACUAGAAGAUGGCGAAUGCGUCCCUGCCCUUUGUACACACCGCCCGUCGCUCCUACCGAUGAGCGUUUUGGCGAAGACGGUUUGAGUAGCUGCGUAAUUUCGUGUUGUUGACUCCGGCAGUUUGAGCCUUCACGUUUAGAGGAAGGAGAAGUCGUAACA